GACGAACGCUGGCGGCGUGCCUAACACAUGCAAGUCGAACGGAACUCGGGACUUCGGUUUUGAGUUUAGUGGCGAACGGGUGAGUAACGCGUGAGGAACCUGCCUUUCAGUGGGGGACAACAGUUGGAAACGACUGCUAAUACCGCAUAAUGUAUCGAGGGGGCAUCCCCUUGAUACCAAAGCUUUAUGUGCUGAAAGAUGGUCUCGCGUCUGAUUAGCUAGUUGGUGGGGUAACGGCCCACCAAGGCGACGAUCAGUAGCCGGUCUGAGAGGAUGAACGGCCACAUUGGGACUGAGAUACGGCCCAGACUCCUACGGGAGGCAGCAGUGGGGAAUAUUGGGCAAUGGGGGAAACCCUGACCCAGCAACGCCGCGUGAAGG
RNAcentral lists this ribosomal RNA (381 nucleotides) under uncultured bacterium. Its description in RNAcentral is "bacterial SSU rRNA". It matches the Rfam family "Bacterial small subunit ribosomal RNA", at positions 28 to 407 of the family's 1533-position model. The record is from RNAcentral.